Molecule: small nucleolar RNA, 144 nt
Organism: Rattus rattus (black rat)
Lineage: Eukaryota; Metazoa; Chordata; Mammalia; Rodentia; Muridae
Product: small nucleolar RNA SNORA48
Exons: 1
Source: RefSeq, a predicted model, not a curated record
UUUCCCUGGCAGUGGGCCAAGAGACCCCUUGUUGGUGAUGUUGUUCUUCUAUCAGUCAGGGGCAGAGCCGACGGCAGUCCUCUGCUCAUCUUAGCCUGAUGCCUGGCUUGGUGGCCGAAGCUGCUUUAUGCCUAGGACUCGUAA